CUCUCUUUCUUUCUGAAUUAUUGGAUCUUCAUCUGGAUUUAUCUUCAUCUGCAAGAGAAGUGCUUGGUGUUGCAGGAAUCGGCAUUUGGUAUGAAGAAGGCCAGGAACACCACCGGCCACCUCUUCUUCACAUUCUAGUGUUUCUAUUUCUAGGGUUUCUUCUUCGCCGAUUCCAUUCCCUUCCUCUCCGCCACGCUGCCGAGCCCUCCUCGCCGGCGGCCCUCACUCAUCACAGCAGCCUCCUUUUCCUCCUCUUCCGUUGCUGCAAUCAACGGCGGCCUCCAUCAUUACACCGUUCUGGGCGUCGCCCACACUGCCACAGCCGUCGAGAUCGAACGUGCUAAUCGCCUCCUUGCCCGCAAGAUUGUUCCUUGGUCUGCAAUCAAUUUCACAACAUAUGAUAUGAUAAAGGCUUGGUGUACCACCUCAACAAAGUCUCUACCAGAUUUUUUUGCUGUUGCUGUUAUUAAGAGUUUGAACGCUGCUGAACUGAAUUAGUGGACACAAGAACAUGCAGGCGUGUUUUAUUCUGGCUGGAUGGUGUUGGACAAAAUUUUCUUCCCAUAGAGGUCCUGGCUGUCAUACGAAGAAACCAUUGGAAUAUAGUAAUGAUACGAAGUUAGGGGGCGGUUAAUAGUCAAGAA
Long non-coding RNA from Lotus japonicus, 644 nucleotides. RefSeq lists it as uncharacterized. Lineage: Eukaryota; Viridiplantae; Streptophyta; Magnoliopsida; Fabales; Fabaceae. The transcript is spliced from 2 exons. The record is from RefSeq and is a predicted model, not a curated record.